GGGGGCCCCAGGCCUGGACGCAGUGCUCCACAUGGGGCCUCACAAGAGCCGAGUAGAGCGGGACAAUCCCCUCCCUCUCCCUCCUGGCCACCCCCAGGGACCUAAAGCCUCAGCCCCAGCUAGAGAGGCCAGCACUGACCCCAGGGCCUGAAGCCACAGCCUGACAGGCUGGAACCAGUCCCCGGAGUUCAAGCUGUGUCUAAAGACACAGCCCCACCCUGAGUGGCCAGCACUGGCCCCGGGGCACACAGGGGUGCAUUCCAAUUGGUUUCUACUGAUUCCUAUUGGUCUCUAUUCACCCCUAUCAGUCCUUGCUGGUCUUUUCCAGACGCUGAUGCAUUCCUUUCACAAAAACGAGGUCCGACGACCCACUCGUUUUCGGGUUUGUUGCCCGUUUGUAAAAUAUUUUAUGACGUAUACAUAUCAAUCUACGUCUCUUUUUCCAUCUCCCGAGUCACGCCUCCCCUGGUCAGCAAAGGGUCACUGCCGCAAUGGAGUCAUCCAAACUCAGAGGAAUAGUACACAUCCAUUUAUUGACAGCGUUCUUAACAACUGACAACAGCCCAUUGGAGGUAACGUUGCCUAAUGGGCUAAUUACAAUUCAUAAGCCUUCGAGGUAACCAGCUGUAGGAAAUGGGUGCUACGAAGACUCAAAGAAUCCAAGAAGCCACGUCCUGGUGUCAGGUGCAGAUCUUCAGCCUGAUGGGUCGUCGGAGGUGGUGGUGUUCAGCUGACGACUCACGACGACAGUACAACUUAUUUGCGCUGUCUUUCCUGGCGCAGCACCUGGCAGACAAAAGCGUGAGUGCCCAUGCCUGCUGCAGUUGCCCUCCAGGUCCCCACCUGGGGUCAGGCAGCCCCCAUCCCCUCGCCCCUCCACGCUACCUCGAUCUCCUCUGUCUCAGCCUUCAGCUGAUCUUCCAGCUGGGCAAUGAACUGCUUCUCCUGCAAAGACAAUGGCUGUGCCAUGUGGGGUGGCUGCGCUGGGCCCCACGGACCCGAGGGAUGGGGACCAAGGUCCUCCCACAGAGCCAAAGCUGUGAGUGCACUGAGCUCUGAGGACGAGCCCCAGCUCCACCCUACCUGCUCCAGAUCCUCCUUCCUGGCAGCUGUUCUUUCUGCCCGUAUUUGCUGGGCAUCCUGCAGGAAAGGGGAAGGGGAGCGGCCAUCAGGGCACCGACGCUCUCACGAAGCUCCAUCUGACAGCAGCUCCAUGCCACACUCCCCUCCUGCCUCCUCCAUGGAGGAGCUGCAGACCCACACGAGGGGACAUCUGCUCACCUUCAUCAAGGAUUCCCUGGCCUCAGCCUUGCGCUUCUCCACGGCGCGCUCAUGAGCCUGUGGGAGGGGAGAGGAGCGGCGUUGGCACCGAGGUGCUGCCAACAGCUUUGCAUCCCGCCGGAGGUGCCCGGCCCUCUGCUGCCAUGCCAUGGGCAGGGUGCCCUCCAGCCGGCAGCUCGCCCCGCUGGCCCUUCUGUGUCUGUGCACCCAGAGCUCACCUGCAGCAGCUCCUCCAGCAGAUUCACACGCUGCAGAUCUGUUAAUGUCCCGCUGGCAAACUGGGCCCGCAUUGCUGCACCACUCGCACAGCUCCUCGCUGGACCAGAACCAACCGCAAAAUGAGGCAGGCAGGUUCAGCGCUGACCCACUGCCCCUGCCCCACCCCAGGGCCUCUGUGAGGUCAUCACAUCAUUGUGACAUCACCCGCACAGGAGGGUCCUGGAAGAUCAUAGAACUGCAGGACGGCGUGGCUUGGGAGGUUCCUUAGUGAUCACAGAACCAUAGAAUGGUUUGUGUUGGAAGAGUCCUGGAAGAUGAUAGAACCACAGGAUGGUGUGGCUUGGAAGGGUCCUGGAAGAUCAUAGAAUCACAGAAUGGUUCUUUGAAACAGCUGUGAAGGAUCUGUGAGCAAAUCCGCCGUCAGUAGUUGGUGCCGCGGGAAGGCCUGAGGUCCGACCUUUCCUCCAACGGCUUCAGUGUAACUUUGGAAAGACAGUGCUCACACCUGGUUUGUUCUAUCUGCCAGGACGUCACUCAGCUGCGUUGCGACGGCGACGGCGCGCCCUCAUUCAUGGCACGGCGUACAGCCGUCCGCGUGACGACGGCGCACGCGUGGCUGUGUAUCCAUAACAGCCGCGCUUCAGCGCGGCUGUCCCCUUUGGAUGCUGCCAUGGCGCGUCGUCCCACGCUGUGACGUCAUCGCCUUGCGCCCGGGUGAGGCGGCGGCCUCGAGGUUGUCCUGCUGUGCUCCGCAGUGCUCCAACGCCGCGGGGCGGCUCCGGGCGCCGCCUCAGCUUCUACAGGAGAGACGUUGUGGGUGAGACAGAGGGAACAUCAAAUGAGAAACUGGGAAGAGAUAUGAAGUAGCGGGACCAGUUUUUCUAAAUGGUUAUCAAGUUUCUCAACAGAAAGCUCAACUGAUCAAAGAGAAGGAAGGAAGCAAUUUGCUGGGCUCCCAGGACACCAACGCAGAGCUACCUUCGAGCCGGCACUGUGUGACUGCAUGGAGACUGUCUGUGCCAGUGGGCCAGACCUAAAGAAGGAACUACCAGAUGAUGCUGAGGAUUCCUGCAUUCAUCGACAGAAGCAGUUUAGUGAGACAAAGGAACCGUAAGGCAGGAUAUGCAGUAACUGCUACUGAGCAGGUAAUCAGAGUACAACCGUUACCUGUAGGGACUUCCACUAAGAGGUCUAAAAUAGCCUUAAACGUAUGGACAGAUGCUAAAUAUGCAUUUGGGGUGGCACACACUUAUGGUACCAUCUGGAAAGAGCAAGGAGUGCUCACACACAGGGAAAACAAAUUGAGCACGGUGUAUAUCUACCAAAGAGCGUGGCUGUUAUACACUGUGAUGGACAUCAGAAAGGUGACACUGUCCAGGAAACUGGAAAUAUGAUAGGGAUCAGGUGGCAAAACAGGCAGUUGAAGGAAAAGAGAUAGCAGAACUGGCUUUAAUUCCAGAUGGUAAACUUCAAAUCUCUGAACCUGAGUCAGCCUGUGGAGCAUUUUAGAGGGGACGGGAAUCUAAUUAAUGAUUUAGAAGGGAAGAGAGCUAGCUGACAGAUGGGUGCGUACCCAGAUGGACACGCUGUUGUGCCCUUUAGUACUUUAUGGAAGUUGGUUCUAAGGGAACCUAUUGAAACAUACUGAGGGGACAAACAGUAGAAAGUAAUUGCGCAAUCUAGUACCAGGAACAGGGUACAAGUGGGGCCUAUUAGGAAAGGGAACCUUCCAGGGCAACAAUGGCAAAUUGUUUUUUGUUUGGAACUACCAGGAAAAAAGGAGGGUUUUGUUAUAUGCUAGUUGAAACCAAUACCUUUCCAGGGUGGCCAGAAGCAUUCCCUCUGCAAAGCCAAAGAAGUAGCCGAGGUAUUGUUGCAGGAGAUUAUUCCAAGGUUUGGGGUUAGUGCAACAAUAUCCUCCAACCAGGGAGCUCCCUUGAUUGUAAAGAUUGUCCAACAGGGCAGAAAUAGC
This is a long non-coding RNA of Gallus gallus (chicken), 3472 nucleotides long. RefSeq lists it as uncharacterized. The record is from RefSeq and is a predicted model, not a curated record. Lineage: Eukaryota; Metazoa; Chordata; Aves; Galliformes; Phasianidae. The transcript is spliced from 4 exons.